UGGGCCGUCGCCAAGCGGUAAGGCACGGGGUUUUGAUCUCCGCAUACCAAGGUUCGAAUCCUUGCGGCCCAGCCA
RNAcentral lists this transfer RNA (75 nucleotides) under Methylobacter tundripaludum. Its description in RNAcentral is "tRNA-Gln". It matches the Rfam family "tRNA". Rfam says of the family: Transfer RNA (tRNA) molecules are approximately 80 nucleotides in length. Their secondary structure includes four short double-helical elements and three loops (D, anti-codon, and T loops). Further hydrogen bonds mediate the characteristic L-shaped molecular structure. tRNAs have two regions of fundamental functional importance: the anti-codon, which is responsible for specific mRNA codon recognition, and the 3' end, to which the tRNAs corresponding amino acid is attached (by aminoacyl-tRNA synthetases). tRNAs cope with the degeneracy of the genetic code in two manners: having more than one tRNA (with a specific anti-codon) for a particular amino acid; and 'wobble' base-pairing, i.e. permitting non-standard base-pairing at the 3rd anti-codon position. The record is from RNAcentral. RNAcentral also lists the same sequence under 13 other names. Lineage: Bacteria; Pseudomonadati; Pseudomonadota; Gammaproteobacteria; Methylococcales; Methylococcaceae.